CACCCCUUAUUCAUUAGAUUUUACGAGGUAUGGGUAUUUCGGUUAUUCACAAAUAUCUACCAAAACGAAUAUGAUUAAUUAUUCGGUUAGUUUGUUUCAAGAAAGGUGUACUGAAAAAAAAACAUCAACUAUUCUUUAUAUAAAACGAAUCCUGAAAUUCCUGAGUCGUCUGAUGACGUGUCGAGGUUGACUACGUCUCAUUGGCGCUUACAGCCGUGAUCAGAAUAAAUAUGUGGACUUCAGUGAUAUAUCUGGAAAUUUAACUCCAACUAUCGUGAACGGAAACCGGCAUAUGAUUCAACUGGACAAGGGUUAUUUAAGCAGUAAAUGGUCCACUGGAGACACUUUCGGGGGUGUUGAUAAAAAGCAUUGGUUUUCUUACCAACUACACUCCCUCAAUCAUAAAGACAGAAAAAAUGAACGUGUACUGUGCAAGAAGAAUAGUCAAUUUCCAUAAAUUCCACACCAUGGCUGAAUAAUACUGAAA
Magallana angulata is the source of this 487-nucleotide long non-coding RNA. RefSeq lists it as uncharacterized. The transcript has 3 exons. The record is from RefSeq and is a predicted model, not a curated record. NCBI's taxonomy places the organism in Eukaryota, Metazoa, Mollusca, Bivalvia, Ostreida, Ostreidae.